This 74-nucleotide transfer RNA is filed under the name Candidatus Nitrosarchaeum limnium SFB1. RNAcentral describes it as "tRNA-Ala". Lineage: Archaea; Thermoproteati; Nitrososphaerota; Nitrososphaeria; Nitrosopumilales; Nitrosopumilaceae. The record is from RNAcentral.
AAAUUAUCGUUAAAUACCGAAUCACUCAUGUCAAACGAAUCCAGAAACACCAUAUUCAUUGGUAAGAAACCAUU